Molecule: long non-coding RNA, 345 nt
Filed under: Oryza brachyantha (malo sina)
Lineage: Eukaryota; Viridiplantae; Streptophyta; Magnoliopsida; Poales; Poaceae
Description: long non-coding RNA (OBRA_LNC001025)
Source: RNAcentral
UCACUGCGAAGCUAUAGUCAAGGUGCACGGGGUCUUGCCGUCUAGCCGUUGGUACCACUUUUUAAAAGAUUACAAAAACUAUGAAUUGAAGUGAUUACUCAAUAUUCGAUUGGAAUGGAUUUACAACAAUUCUAAAAAAAUUAUGAAUUUUCUAUUUCAUAAUCAUUCCUAUUUUCACUCUAAAAUUGAACUAAAGAGCCUAUAUUAUGAUAUGAGUUAUGUGAUUAAUCGUUUGCUAUGUCAGUAUCUAUAUGUGUAUUAGAUUUCGAAAGCCCUUCUUUCUCUAAUUUAGAAGGGAGUUCCGCUACCAACACAAUGUAAUUAACUCGAUUCGUUAGAACAGCU